Molecule: long non-coding RNA, 2568 nt
Organism: Leopardus geoffroyi (Geoffroy's cat)
Lineage: Eukaryota; Metazoa; Chordata; Mammalia; Carnivora; Felidae
Exons: 2
Source: RefSeq, a predicted model, not a curated record
GCCUCUUGGGGAAAAGGAGAAGCCAGCUGUCAGUCCAAAGCCCUGCCCAGGGCACAACGUCCAGGAUGAUUCUCAGGACAGGCAGUGGACGGAGCACCAGGCGGCCAGUGUCGAUGCUCCCACCGUGGCUGAUUUCGAGCUACCAACACGACGUCACUGAACGUGGAGUUGGGAAGAGAUGCAGACAAUCAUUUCUGGUGCCAGCUGAACCCAGCCCUAUCCCACCACCUCCUCUCACACCCCCUCAGAUCUGUGCCAUGGAAUGCAGUCAGAUCCUGGGAAAGAGCGUGGGCUUUGGAGUCGGACAGAUGGAGUUCAGAGCCCAGCUUUUCUGAUUUCAACACCAGUGUGGUCAUGGGAAAAAAUAUUGUACCUCUCUGAGUCUCCGUUUCUUCAUCUGUAAGCAGUUACCAGUGAUGCACCUUCCUCACCCCCACUUUUGUUCUUUUGCUCACGCAGUUCUCCUGCCUGGGAUGCCUUCUCUUCCACUCACCUAAAUUCUUAAGACUCUUCUCAAAUUCUGCCUCCUCCAUGAAGCCUUCCCCGGUUACUCUGGCCCUUAAUGUUUUCUCCCUUCUCCAUACUCCUAUGGCAAGUAGGAGGUUCACCUACCUAGCUUAGCACUGAUACCAUCCUACAUAUGAUCUGGUCGUUCUGGGCUGUUUUAGGACAAGGGCUCCAUCUCAGAUGACUGCUUUAUCUCUCAGCCCAGGCCCCCAGUUCCUACUCACUGAUUAAUUAUUAAUAACCUGCAGAUGUGAUAUGGAUCCAUCCCUCCAUUCCACAAGUAUUUAAUAAGUUUCUACCAUGUGUCAGGCACUGAAAAUACAACGGUAUUAAUUAAACAGUGGUAGUACUCAUAAUGAUUGCAAUAAUAAUUGCUACCAUUGUAAAGCAAUUACUAUAGAGCUAGGCAUUCUGCUGAGCACUUCACACAUUUUAGCUCUUUUAAUUUUUAUAACAACAUCCUAGGGAGUUAGAGACUACACUUAUCCCACUUUCCAGUAACAAACACGAAGCUCACUGGGAUUAAGUAACGUGUCCAAGGCCAGAGCCAGGAUUCAAACUCAGCUUUGUGCUCUUCAUGAUUCCGCUGCGUCUGGCACUAGGCUCUCUGGCCCCUCUCCCCUCACAGAGGUUAUUUUUCAAAGCAUUUUCAUCCUUCUCACAACAAUCCUACGAGGCGAAGAACACAGAGAAGUUAUCCCCAUUUUCUAAAUGAGGAAACUGAGACUCAGAGAGCCUGAGUGACUUGCUAACGACCAAUUACAGUCAGAGCUGUGGCUCCUGACUUCCGGCUGGGCCAUGGAGGUUGCUGGUGGACGCAGGGGAGGAGGAACGGGAGGAGGACCUUGUGCCCUGGACACAGGCCAGUGCUGGGACCACAGAGGCCAGCGCCUACCUUGUGCACCCAGUCCUUGCAGUCGUGGUCCUGCAUGCACUUGUCCAGUGCCCCAGCUGACAGCACCAGCACAAAGUUGCGGGCACCUAUGACACUCUGGAUGAGCUUGUCCUCGAACUUGCCUGCUUCCAGCUUCUCCACAUCAAUGAAGACACUGAAGCCGUGCAGCUGCAGGUGCACCUUCAGGAGGCUGUAAAGAGGUCCCGUGUCACUGCCUUGGCCUUGCCCCGAGGCCCCAGCCUGCCCGCCUGCCCACCCCUUCUCACCUGGCCAGCUGGGAGCCUGAGUUCCGGCGGUAGCUGAUGAAGACAUCUGGGAUGUCCCCACUGGGCUUGCAGCCAGUGCAGGGCAGUGGGGAGUGUAGCAUUUCUGAAGCAGACAAGAGACAGCUUGGUUCACCAUGAGGUACAUCAUCCCCUGCACACCCGCCUUCUCAGCCCGGCCCAACCCCACCCAGCCCAGGCAGGGUGGCUUGCUUCAAAAAAGGGUCACUGAGAUAGCGAGAUGGGCCUACGGGAAGGAGGGCUGCUAACUCUUAGUGAGUGCGUCUCAGGAGGCGGGCAUUGUGUUUUAGGGAUGUGGAUUUGCACCUCCGCCCUGCCCUCUCUCCGGAGCUUCAGACCUACACGGCCAGCUGCCCCCACACACGGCAAACCCAAUACGUCCCAAGUCCUCCCCGGGACCCUCCCUUCCUAGUUCCCACCACAGCCAACACCUGGGUAUUGGCCUGAACCCCUACCUCUCACUCAUUCAUUCAACAAGUAUUUGCUAAGCAUUUACUGUAUGCCUGGCACUAUCCCUUGUGCUUGGGCUACUGCAGUGAACAGAACAGACAAGUCUUCACAACCCCUGACUCCGAGCUCUGUAUCCUUCCUACUUCCCAGGGCCCUCCUGAUGUCCAGGCUCCCAACUCAGCCUUCUCAGUGGUCUCCCCAAAUCCACACUUACUCGGUCUAAUCUGUUUGUACAGCAACCGGAGGGAUUUUUCUAAAAUCUAAGUCUGAGUGUGUCAUUGCCCCCACUUAAAAAAACGUGCACGGCUCUUUUUAAAAAACGUGUAAGCUAUCUUUGCAGUAGGACUUCCCUGUUUUUAAAAAAUGAAAUCUUAGGGUUUUAUUGGACGCUGCGAUGUAAAAAUAAUAAAGGCUUGAUCUGCUUUAGUUAAA